GACCUCAAAUCASGUAGGACUACCCGCUGAACUUAAGCAUAUCAAUAAGCGGAGGAAAAGAAACUAACAAGGAUUCCCCUAGUAACUGCGAGUGAAGCGGGAAAAGCUCAAAUUUAAAAUCUGUCAGUCUUUGGCUGUCCGAGUYGUAAUCUAGAGAAGUKUUAUCCGCGCUGGRCCGUGUACAAGUCUCCUGGAAUGGAGCGUCAUAGAGGGUGAGAAUMCCGUCUUUGACACGGACUMCCAGGGCUUUGUGAUGCGCUCUCAAAGAGUCGAGUUGUUUGGGAAUGCAGCUCAAAAUGGGUGGUAAAUUCCAUGUAAAGCUAAAUAUUGGCGAGAGACCGAUAGCGAACAAGUACCGUGAGGGAAAGAUGAAAAGAACUUYGGAAAGAGAGUUAAACAGUACGUGAAAUUGCUGAAAGGGAAACGCUUGAAGUCAGUCGCGUUGUCCAGGGAUCAACCUUGCUUUYGCUUGGUGUACUUUCUGGUCGUCGGGUCAGCAUCAAUUUUGACUAUUGGAAAAAGAUUAGGGGAAUGUGGCAUCUUUGGAGU
This 549-nucleotide ribosomal RNA is filed under the name Cortinarius camphoratus. RNAcentral describes it as "eukaryotic LSU rRNA". It matches the Rfam family "Eukaryotic large subunit ribosomal RNA", at positions 1 to 551 of the family's 3401-position model. Lineage: Eukaryota; Fungi; Basidiomycota; Agaricomycetes; Agaricales; Cortinariaceae. The record is from RNAcentral.